UGCAGUCGAACGGCAGCACAGUAAGAGCUUGCUCUUAUGGGUGGCGAGUGGCGGACGGGUGAGGAAUACAUCGGAAUCUACCUUUUGGUGGGGGAUAACGUAGGGAAACUUACGCUAAUACCGCAUACGCCCUUCGGGGGAAAGCCGGGGACCUUCGGGCCUGGCGCUGAUAGAUGAGCCGAUGUCGGAUUAGCUAGUUGGUGAGGUAAUGGCUCACCAAGGCGACGAUCCGUAGCUGGUCUGAGAGGAUGAUCAGCCACACUGGAACUGAGACACGGUCCAGACUCCUACGGGAGGCAGCAGUGGGGAAUAUUGGACAAUGGGCGCAAGCCUGAUCCAGCCAUACCGCGUGGGUGAAGAAGGCCUUCGGGUUGUAAAGCCCUUUUGUUGGGAAAGAAAAGCAUCCGGUUAAUACCCGGUUGUUCUGACGGUACCCAAAGAAUAAGCACCGGCUAACUUCGUGCCAGCAGCCGCGGUAAUACGAAGGGUGCAAGCGUUACUCGGAAUUACUGGGCGUAAAGCGUGCGUAGGUGGUGGUUUAAGUCCGUUGUGAAAGCCCUGGGCUCAACCUGGGAAUUGCAGUGGAUACUGGAUCACUAGAGUGUGGUAGAGGAUAGUGGAAUUUCCGGUGUAGCAGUGAAAUGCGUAGAGAUCGGAAGGAACAUCUGUGGCGAAGGCGACUAUCUG
Molecule: ribosomal RNA, 687 nt
Filed under: Pseudoxanthomonas sp. M29T15
Lineage: Bacteria; Pseudomonadati; Pseudomonadota; Gammaproteobacteria; Lysobacterales; Lysobacteraceae
Description: bacterial SSU rRNA
Rfam family: Bacterial small subunit ribosomal RNA
Source: RNAcentral